GACGAACGCUGGCGGCGUGCCUAAUACAUGCAAGUUGAGCGCUGAAGGUUGGUACUUGUACCAACUGGAUGAGCAGCGAACGGGUGAGUAACGCGUGGGGAAUCUGCCUUUGAGCGGGGGACAACAUUUGGAAACGAAUGCUAAUACCGCAUAAAAACUUUAAACACAAGUUUUAAGUUUGAAAGAUGCAAUUGCAUCACUCAAAGAUGAUCCCGCGUUGUAUUAGCUAGUUGGUGAGGUAAAGGCUCACCAAGGCGAUGAUACAUAGCCGACCUGAGAGGGUGAUCGGCCACAUUGGGACUGAGACACGGCCCAAACUCCUACGGGAGGCAGCAGUAGGGAAUCUUCGGCAAUGGACGAAAGUCUGACCGAGCAACGCCGCGUGAGUGAAGAAGGUUUUCGGAUCGUAAAACUCUGUUGGUAGAGAAGAACGUUGGUGAGAGUGGAAAGCUCAUCAAGUGACGGUAACUACCCAGAAAGGGGCGGCUAACUACGU
This 496-nucleotide ribosomal RNA is filed under the name uncultured bacterium. RNAcentral's name for it is "partial 16S ribosomal RNA". It matches the Rfam family "Bacterial small subunit ribosomal RNA", at positions 28 to 506 of the family's 1533-position model. The record is from RNAcentral.